This 164-nucleotide ribosomal RNA is filed under the name uncultured bacterium. Its description in RNAcentral is "partial 16S rRNA". It matches the Rfam family "Bacterial small subunit ribosomal RNA", at positions 355 to 511 of the family's 1533-position model. The record is from RNAcentral.
UAGGGAAUCUUCCACAAUGGGCGAAAGCCUGAUGGAGCAACGCCGCGUGUGUGAUGAAGGGUUUCGGCUCGUAAAACACUGUUGUAAGAGAAGAAUGACAUUGAGAGUAACUGUUCAAUGUGUGACGGUAUCUUACCGGAAAGGGACGGCUAAAUACGUGCCAG